Long non-coding RNA from Archocentrus centrarchus (flier cichlid), 753 nucleotides. RefSeq lists it as uncharacterized. The transcript is spliced from 3 exons. The record is from RefSeq and is a predicted model, not a curated record. Lineage: Eukaryota; Metazoa; Chordata; Actinopteri; Cichliformes; Cichlidae.
CACGGAGUGUGGGGACUCCAGGGCUGAUCUGUUUGAGGAGAUACUUGAUCGCACCAGAAGUGACGUGAAGGUGAAAAGCAGGAUUUGUGUGGUUAUGAUGCAUUUAAGGACGCGCGGAAUUGCAGUCACGGCUUCUAUACGCACACUGACCACAUUCUUCUUUGUAUCUGGGUCCAUCAAAAAACUGAGGCUUCACUGCUGUGUGUGAGAAUGGCGGCAGCAGCCGCCAGCAGGGUGGCCUCUGUCCCCUUGCGUCACGACCACAAAGCACCGAUUCAUCUGCCUGAACACACACUAGAGCAGUUGUGAAAGUUUGUGUGUGUAUAUUUGUGUAAGCGCUCCUCGCGUUUGCUUACUUUAAGCUGACAUUCUCUGUUCUGAGUGUUCAUCAGGGAAACCUGAGACAGGUAUUAUUUUUAUUUGUUAUGAAGGCACAAAAAAGGCUGUUGAGUGGAGUUGAUACCUGGGUAAAGUGAUGCUAAAUAUUUAUUUAGGUUUGAAGCUUGCAACAUCAGUGGCAUAUUUCAGUUUGAAAACCCCGAUUCCACUAUUUUAAAACUCAAUGAGCAAAUCAUUUAAGUGACUCUUUGUAGGUGAUUUACUGCAAUACAUGUACAUGAAGACUGUCAUUAGUAUAGUUAAGUUGCCCUCUUGCCAUGAUUUUUCUGUUGAUUGGCUAGUCAGUCUAUAAACUCAUCAUAUUGCCUGUCAUUCUCUCUCAUGAGUCUACAUCUGAAGUUGUUACUACCUAUA